UACGUAGGUGGCAAGCGUUGUCCGGAAUUACUGGGUGUAAAGGGAGCGCAGGCGGGAAGCCAAGUCAGCUAUGAAAACUACGGGCUUAACUUGUAGACUGCAGUUGAAACUGGUUUUCUUGAGUGAAGUAGAGGUUGGCGGAAUUCCGAGUGUAGCGGUGAAAUGCGUAGAUAUUCGGAGGAACACCGGUGGCGAAGGCGGCCAACUGGGCUUUAACUGACGCUGAGGCUCGAAAGUGUGGGGAGCAAACAGG
This 253-nucleotide ribosomal RNA is filed under the name uncultured bacterium. RNAcentral's name for it is "partial 16S ribosomal RNA". It matches the Rfam family "Bacterial small subunit ribosomal RNA", at positions 524 to 776 of the family's 1533-position model. The record is from RNAcentral.